Rosa chinensis is the source of this 637-nucleotide long non-coding RNA. RefSeq lists it as uncharacterized. The record is from RefSeq and is a predicted model, not a curated record. The transcript has 2 exons. Lineage: Eukaryota; Viridiplantae; Streptophyta; Magnoliopsida; Rosales; Rosaceae.
AAUAGAUAAAAACUUAAUAUUUGUAAAAAUUAUGUAUUUAUCACGAUAGCAAGGAGUUAUGAACAUGUUGAUUAUAUGGGGUAGUUAAACUGUGGAUAUUUAUGAGAAGAAUAUUUAGAAACAAUAAUGAGGUAAUAGAUUAUGAUCCUCUUUUAUGAAAUGACCACAAAUUCCAAUAUAAUUGUGUAGCCAAAUCAGCCUGAGAAUCAUACAAAUGAUGAACAAUACCUACCAUACCAUGGUACCCAAAUUACCAAGUCUGUCUAAAACCUUAUGCUUAUAAUUAAACACGUGGUGAAAAUCAAAACAGCCUUUCCAGAACUCUCAACCUCUGUAGGUAAUUACAUGGUUCCAUGAAGGUGUAAUGAGGUUAGAAAGGUGGUAAAACAAGGCAGGAUUCAUAAACCGGUGAUGGAAGUUGCGGUAAUUGCAGGUGGAGUUGGAUUGUACACAAUCUGAUCAUCAGUCCAAUUUGUUUCUCCCCAAUGCUUCAACAUGCCCUUCCAAGAACACACAUUGUCUACACAUCUUUUUAAUCGCCGGUCAUUGAUUUUGAUCUUCCAAUGUCCAUCUGUGAAGUUAGCUUUCUCCGCUUCCCUUCUGUCCCAUUCCAGUUGUGCCUUCUGCUUUGUCCUCA